GACGAACGCUGGCGGCGUGCUUAACACAUGCAAGUCGAACGGAAAGGCCCCCACUUUUUUGGUGGGGGUGCUCGAGUGGCGAACGGGUGAGUAACACGUGGGUGAUCUGCCCUGUACUUCGGGAUAAGCUUGGGAAACUGGGUCUAAUACCGGAUAGGACCAUGGUUUAGUGUCUCAUGGUGGAAAAAUUAUUGUUUUGGUGCAGGGUGGGCUCGCGGCCUAUUAGCUUGUUGGUGGGGUAAUGGCCUACCAAGGCGUCGACGGGUAGCCGGCCUGAGAGGGUGGACAGACUGAUUGGGACUGAGGUACGGCCCAGACUCGUACGGGAGGCAGCAGGGGGGAAUAUUGAACAAUGGGCGCAAGCCUGAUGCAGCGACGCCGCGUGGGGGAUGACGGCCUUCGGGUUGUAAACUCCUUUCGUUAGGGACGAAGCCGCACCUUUUUUGGGUGUGGUGACGGUACCUUUGUUAAGAAGCACCGGCUAACUACGUG
Molecule: ribosomal RNA, 492 nt
Filed under: uncultured bacterium
Lineage: Bacteria
Description: partial 16S ribosomal RNA
Rfam family: Bacterial small subunit ribosomal RNA
Source: RNAcentral